UACGUAGGGUCCGAGCGUUGUCCGGAAUUAUUGGGCGUAAAGGGCUCGUAGGCGGUUCGUCACGUCGGGAGUGAAAACUCGGGGCUUAACCCCGAGCCUGCUUCCGAUACGGGCAGACUAGAGGUAGGCAGGGGAGAGCGGAACUCCUGGUGUAGCGGUGGAAUGCGCAGAUAUCAGGAAGAACACCGGUGGCGAAGGCGGCUCUCUGGGCCGUACCUGACGCUGAGGCGCGAAAGCUAGGGGAGCAAACAGG
RNAcentral lists this ribosomal RNA (253 nucleotides) under uncultured bacterium. RNAcentral's name for it is "partial 16S ribosomal RNA". It matches the Rfam family "Bacterial small subunit ribosomal RNA", at positions 524 to 776 of the family's 1533-position model. The record is from RNAcentral.